UUUUUAAACAAUAUUUACAUAGAUUAUUAUAAUGCGAUAGAAAAUAAUUGGAAAUUGAUCAAUUCUCUCAAGACAUGGAUAGUAACUCAUGAAACAAGUGGAAAUUUUAAAAUUUGUGACCUUGAAUUAAAGUGCAGUUCAUAGUUUUUUGUGUUUUUAUUUCACUAAGUUGUUUUCGUUGCAAGUAUAAACAAAUAAGAGUAAUUAUUAUAAUUUAACAUAAUUGCAAAAAAAAUGCGAUUAUCAUCACCUAAUGAUUAUUAAUAGUAAUGUGAUUGUUAUUGAAUAUUUAAAAUUAAUGUUAAUGCUACGACCCUUGACCUAUAUUAAAACAGGAACUACAUAUCUUUGAUGUAGAAGGCAUGCAGGUGUGGUCAACUUAAAAUAACAAAGUUACAGUCAUAGAACCGGAAGUCGGCCAUCUUUGAAAAUAUUUUAUUUAAAAAGAUUUUAUUCGAAAACGUAAACGUAGAAAUUUUCAUGAUUUUGCCAUAUACAGAUAGUUUUAAGUCGUCGUUGAACACCCUGUAUAGAUUAUAUUAUAUUAUAUUGUUGAACAUAUUCACGUAAAUUUCCCAUGAAACUCACCUCUUGGUUUCUAAUCAAUGAAUAGAUAAUACGAUAUAGAGUUGUACAAGAUGAUGUCGUUUUAGAAGAAUUUAAUCCCGAAUAUUUUCAGUUAUGGUUACUAAUAUAAAAGUCACUCGCUUGGGGACACUAUUUGGAUGAAAUUGAAGGUCAUACUUCAGAUUUCUAUCGUACGCUUGCCAUAUCAGAAUAAUUUUAUAUCAGGAGCAAAACCUCUUCAGAAUUUCAUUUUUUCAAACAUCGUGUCUAAGUGACCUUAAAUUUACUGAGAAGUAUAUAAUUUUUGUGGGUGCACUAUCAGGGUUUUUGAAUUGAGGUUAUGGCAAUAUGCAAAGUAAGAACAGAAAUAAAUCAAAACAAGGCGAUGUACUUGUUCAUAUCCAAGAUCAAUAAUGCUCAACAAUAUAUUAAAUUAUGGGUUAAAAAAACUAUACAGAGUGAUUUUUAAAUAUGAAACAUUUCAUUUAUCUCAGUAACAACUUUCACGAUAUUUAUUAAUUUUUGUUUGUAAUAGUUUUCUAAUAUGAUCGAUAUUAUGGUAACAUUUACAUUGUUGCCAGAUCUUUCGUUUUUAUGGAAACAUCAUGAACUGAUUUGAAUAUUUCCCAUGUAAUUUUUCUCUUUCUCCGACGUCAGUGGAUAUUCAUUGUAAGUGGAUGAGAAAACAUUAAAAUAUUGUUAUGAAAAUUUCUUGUUAUUAUAGUUUUGAUCUAA
Molecule: long non-coding RNA, 1302 nt
Organism: Diorhabda sublineata
Lineage: Eukaryota; Metazoa; Arthropoda; Insecta; Coleoptera; Chrysomelidae
Exons: 3
Source: RefSeq, a predicted model, not a curated record